UACUCGAGUGGCGAACGGGUGAGUAACACGUGGGUGAUCUGCCCUGCACUUCGGGAUAAGCUUGGGAAACUGGGUCUAGUACCGGAUAGGAACCAUCUUUAGUGUGGUGGUUGGAAAGUUUUUUCGGUGUAGGAUGAGCUCGCGGCCUAUCAGCUUGUUGGUGGGGUAAUGGCCUACCAAGGCGGCGACGGGUAGCCGGCCUGAGAGGGUGUACGGCCACAUUGGGACCGAGAUACGGCCCAG
Molecule: ribosomal RNA, 243 nt
Filed under: uncultured Actinomycetales bacterium
Lineage: Bacteria; Bacillati; Actinomycetota; Actinomycetes; Actinomycetales
Description: partial 16S ribosomal RNA
Rfam family: Bacterial small subunit ribosomal RNA
Source: RNAcentral